AGCGAACGCUGGCGGCAGGCCUAACACAUGCAAGUCGAACGAACUCUUCGGAGUUAGUGGCGGACGGGUGAGUAACACGUGGGAACGUGCCUUUAGGUUCGGAAUAACUCAGGGAAACUUGUGCUAAUACCGAAUGUGCCCUUCGGGGGAAAGAUUUAUCGCCUUUAGAGCGGCCCGCGUCUGAUUAGCUAGUUGUUGAGGUAAAGGCUCACCAAGGCGACGAUCAGUAGCUGGUCUGUGAGGAUGAUCAGCCACAUUGGGACUGAGACACGGCCCAAACUCCUACGGAAGGCAGCAGUGGGGAAUCUUGCGCAAUGGACGAAAGCCUGACGCAGCCAUGCCGCGUGAAUGAUGAAGGUCUUAGGAUUGUAAAAUUCUUUCACCGGGGACGAUAAUGACGUUACCCGGAGAAGAAGCCCCGGCUAACUUCGUG
Molecule: ribosomal RNA, 433 nt
Filed under: uncultured bacterium
Lineage: Bacteria
Description: partial 16S ribosomal RNA
Rfam family: Bacterial small subunit ribosomal RNA
Source: RNAcentral